CUUUACCACUGAUCCACCAGGGAAGCCCCCACUCCAGCUUGUACUUGCUCCUAAGGUCCACAGUUGCCCCUGAAGCCCACAGUCUCAGGCUGAUCAUGGGGAUAUCAUCCCCUGCACCUGUGGCUGCAGGGGUGCGUUUCCCUUCUCUCUUUGGCUCACACUGCCCCUGGUGUUCAGUUUUGGUUUGGGGUCCGCCUCUGUCUGUAGGUGGCCCUCAAGACACAGUUAGGGUUUGUGGGGAGUGUCGCGGGGCCUGGACCUGGGAGGUUGUCCCAGGCAGAGGCAGAUGUGCACUUCCCCAGGGCAGUGGUGUCAGGUCGUGGGCCUCUGGGCAGCGCCAGGCUGCUCAGGAAGAUGUGGGCAGUGACCCCUGUGCCAGCUCACAGCUCGGUGGUGGAGACCGUAGGGUCCUCCCGACCUCUGGCACUGGCGGCGGCUUUUCUACCUCUGGAGCUACAGGCCGCAGCCGGCUUGUCCCCUGAUGGCUCUCCCGAGGGCAAGGGUCCUGCAUCCUGCACCCGCGCAGAGCUAGAGCGUUCCCACAGCAGUGAUGCAUGUGCCUCUCUGGGAGGCCCGGGCUUUCUCCUGGACUCCCUCAGCUGUGUCGUACCAGCCCUUUGAGAAGAUCUUCACAGCAGCCAACCCUGGUCCUCUCCCGGGGGUCCGACCCUUGAAGCCUGAGCCUGAGUACCCAGCCCCUACUCUCUGCUGCGAGGCCCUGUAAGCCGCUUCUCAGCUGGGACAUGCUGCUCGGCAGCAAUCUCUGGGCUGAAUUCUCUCCGUUCUGCCGUCUGAGCAUCUGUUGUUGCAUUCCCCUCUGAGGUUCUUAAGCUCUCUCUCCCCUGUCCCCGCCUGUGAGGGAGUUUCCGAGUGUGCAGAAACUUUUCCUCCUUCACGUCUCCCUCCCUGAGGCACAGGUCCCCAUCCCGAAAUCCUUUCUCUCUCUCUCUUUUUAAUCUUUAUCUUUUGCCCUACUUCAUUUUGAGGAGAUUGGCCUGCCUUUUUGGAAGUCUGGGAUCUUCGGUCCGUGUUCAGGUGGUGUUCUGUAGAAGCUGUUCCACAUGCUGAGGAAUUCUUGAUGUAUCUGUGGAGGGGAAGUUGCUCUCCCUAUCUUAUUCCUCCGAUAUCUUAAGUUUGCCUCUAAAUAGGUUAAUCUUGAUUGAAUGGUGAUGCAGUGUGAGAGGGUCAUUGGGAAGUCAGCUUGGAGAUACAGAAUGGGGACAACUGGAGGAGCCUUGAAUAUCAGUUUGAUUUUUAUUCUUUAAGGGCAUUGAUGAAAAUAAUCAAUAGACAAUCCAUAAUAGGAAUACAAAAAAGUUUCAUUUGAGCCAAACUGAAGACCAUAGUCCAGAAGACUGCCUCUAGAUAACUCCGAGGAACUGUUCCAGAGAAGCACGGUUUUCAGCACAGUUUUAUGUCUUGUCAGAAUAAAGAACACCAAACAAGUCAGGGGUACAUUCCUUCCUGGUUUCAAAAAAACCAGAUCAGCACAUACACAGCGAGUCAGUAUGACCUAGGCACCUGGGAAGGGAUCUUAUCAUUGAAGGAGGAUCAGCAUUGGUGUCCCAGGAAGACAGGUAUUUAAUCUUUAUUUUUAAUAUGGAUAUUCUUGUGAUCACUACACCCUUUUCUUUAACAAUUAAAGCAGAUGUACAAUAUAUAUAUAUGAGAAGCCACAAACAGGCUAUUUUGGUUAUAAGGUGACAGUGUCAUGAGUGUGAUGGUGGCCGUGGAAAUGGAGUGGCUGGAGAAGUUUGGAACUGAUGUGUGUGCUUACUGUGGUGUCAGGCAUUUUGCUAAUACUUCUUACAUUACCUCUGUUUCCCCUUAUAACCACCCUGUGGGGUGACCAUACUAGUUAUCAACUGUUGCAUAACACAUUACUCCAAACAUCGGAGCUUACCAGCACACAUUUAUUAUCUCACAUUGUUCACGUGCCAGAAACCUGGAUGUGGCUUAGCUAGGACCCCUGGCUCAGAGUCACUCAUAAGGCUGCAGGCAUUUCAAAGCUUGACGGGGAAAGAUCAGCCUCCUUGCUCCCUCAUGUGUUGUUGGCAGGAUUCAGUUCCUCUGGACUCAGGUCUCCAUUCCUCCCUCCCUUUCUUGCCCUGUAGGCCUCUUCAUAGAGCACCUUGCUUCAUCAGGGUGAGCAAGUGAGAAGGCAAGGAGAGUACCAUCGAGAGUGAGAAGAGGGGGUGAGGAGCGAAUCAGGGAUGGAGCCAAGUUGGGGGAGUGUGAGUGAGAGAGUGAGCACUAGCAGGAUGGAUGCCAGCGUCUUGUAACCUUAUCACUUUUAUGUGUUUUUGUUCCUUAGAAGCAAGUCCCCAGAUCCAUGUCACACUCAUGGGGAGGAAGGUAUUAAACAUCGUCUAGUGUGUAACGUGUUACCAAGACUAGCAGGAGCUUCCCAGAGAGAGAUAAGAGAGAAGGAAGGGGGCAGAGAAAGGAGAGAAAGAGGGCAAGGAGCCUCGUGAUGGUUUGAAGUUGAGGACGACAGCCUGGUAAAGGCAGAAAUAAAAGCAUUGAGGGCACUUCGUGGUCUGCGUUGGUGGGUGAAGGACUGAAAUGAGACAAGAAUAGAACUCUGCGCUCCCUACUCCCCAACCCCCAGCAGAAAAGGAACUCGAAACUGCACCCCCAACAGGAGGAGGAGGAAGCUUUGGACAUCCUUUUCAUGUGACCGGCUAGCAGGGCUUUGAAACCAUGCCCCACAGCUUUAACAGAAACUGGUGACUAUCAGAAAUUCUUGAGCUUAUCUUACAGAACAGCAGGUAAGGGAAAAGCUUCUUAAAACUUCCUUCUGCUUAUAGCCUGCCCUACUUGAGCAAGCGCAAGCUUGCCUUUAAUCACUUCGUUGCCGAUUGCGUGUCCUCAUAGGUUCACGUAGCCUAGGAAUUUGGAAUCAGCUCUUGCCCAGUUUGAACCAGCUGAGACUAUUUGGGAUCAUUGACUCUAAAACUGGACCUGAGUAGAACACUGAUUACCUGACCUUUUCCCUGCCUCCACUCAUCUUUCUGAAUGCCUAAGACCACUCUGCUUCUUUAACCCGUGAAUAUUUCAAGCCCCUUGACUUUGACAAGGCAGAUCUUGGAGUUCUUCUCCCAUCUUCUCAUUUGGCUGCUUCAUGAAUAAGCCAUUUCUCUGUUGCAAACCUCAUCAUCUCAGCAUUUACCUUGCUGAGCAUCAUAUAAAGGAACCUGGUUUGGUAACUGGUUUCUCCUUUGAGAGGCAAGAACUCUGCCUGAAAGGAGGUGCAUUGCAAGGUGCUUGGGGAGAGUUUAGCAAGCCCUGGUCAAUUACCUCUGGAAAAAGUUGGCUCUCUGUUAUUUUCUGUUAUUUUUGUUGUUUAGUUGCUAAGUCAUGUCUGACUCUUUUGACCCCAUGGACUGUAGCCCGCCAGGCUCCUCUGUCCGUAGGAUUCCCCAGGCAAGAAUACUCGAGUGGGUUGCCAUUUCCUUCUCUAGGGGAUCUUCCUGACCCAAAGGAAUCAAACCCUUGUCUUCUGCAUUUCAGGUGGAUUCUUUACCACUGAGCCACCAGGGAAGCCCUUAAUUUCCGUUAAUUAGACUUUAACAUUACUUUGGAGGAUGAAGCACUUAUCAAGAAAUUCAAAUGCUUGUUGCUACUAUUUAACUGGACGGCUCAAUAGUGAAAAGAUAUAGGAUGGUGUCAUCAGUGAGGCCUGCCUGGGAACUCCCAGGAGGAGCCGUGGUUCGGUGUGGGUCUAAUGCGAAAGUGGUGGAGACAACUCUCCAGAGGUAAAAUCAAAGAAAGAGGCCGCAUAUGAGAAUCCCUGACAGCCUGUUCCUCAAAGUGUAUUGAUUUUCUAGGGACUUCCCUGGUGGUCCACGGGUUAAGAAUCUGUCUUUCAAUGCAGGGGAUGAGGGUUCGAUCCCUGGUCUGGGAACUAAGAUCCCACAUGCCUUGGGGCAACUAAGCCCUCGCACUACUGAGCCCACAUGCCAUGACUAGAGAAGCCUACGUGCUUCAACAAAGACCCAGCACAGUCCAAAAAAAAAAAAAAACAAAAACAAAAACAAAACCAGAAAAUAGGUAUAUUGAUUUUCUAAAAUCCUACUUUAUUCAUGUGGGUUUAAGGUAGCUAACAGAAAUACAAGAUUUAAAAAGCAGAAAGUUAAGGAUAUAAAGAUAAUAAGAGUAGAAGGAAUAAGAUGAUUACGAGGAAGGUGAGGCUCAUUAUUCAGAAAUGCUGGGUGACUGUCUCUCUGAGUUUGGUACUGUUUAGGGCACUGAGGAAAUAAGACAAACCCUACUCCAGUAGAGUUUAUGAUGUGUUCAUGUAAUGUACAACAACCCUAUUGAAAUGCAGACCUGAAUCCAGCCCAUACCUUUCCCUUUUCAAUAUAAUUUCAUUAGUUGAGUCCCAGGGACAUCCUUUAAUUCAUUUAAUUCUCUUAGACACUACUGACUUUUGCUAUUAAUUGUGAACUAUGAUUUUUUUCCCCCUUUUGUACUGAUUUGAUACAAUGUGGAAACAUUUUAAAUAUCAUUACUGCAUAAUGUAGCUUCUUAUCUUUCCUAAAAACAAAACAAAUAACAGUAUCUAUUUUCCUGAUAACAUAUAGGCUCUAUUUCUAGCCUUGUGUACAAAUACAUUUUUGUCACAUGCAACUUGUUGUUGAUAAAAUAAUUUCAGAUUAUUUGUAGCACUGUUUCCUGAAACUUUGAGAAUCAUCAACUGAAGAAGUUAAAGUCUUAUUCGAACAUAUCUUUCAAUUAAGAAUGACCAAUUCAAAGAUGCUUUGUUAAAAAUAACAUACAGGUAGGUUGAUUCCUCCAGUUCCAUUCUUCUUUCUCAAGAUCGCUUUGUACGAGACAGCAAAAGAGACACUGAUGUAUAGAACAGUCUUAUGGACUCUGUGAGAGAGGGAGAGGGUGGGAAGAUU
Molecule: long non-coding RNA, 4907 nt
Organism: Bubalus bubalis (water buffalo)
Lineage: Eukaryota; Metazoa; Chordata; Mammalia; Artiodactyla; Bovidae
Exons: 3
Source: RefSeq, a predicted model, not a curated record